Molecule: unclassified non-coding RNA, 329 nt
Filed under: soil metagenome
Description: partial contains 5.8S ribosomal RNA, internal transcribed spacer 2, and large subunit ribosomal RNA
Rfam family: 5.8S ribosomal RNA (bases 1-120)
Source: RNAcentral
GAUGAAGAACGCAGCGAAAUGCGACAAGUAAUGUGAAUUGCAGAAUUCCGUGAAUCAUCGAAUCUUUGAACGCACAUUGCGCCCCCUGGUAUUCCGGGGGGCAUGCCUGUCCGAGCGUCAUUACAACCCUCAAGCUCAGCUUGGUAUUGGGCCCCGCCGACCCGGCGGGCCCUAAAGUCAGUGGCGGUGCCGUCCGGCUCCGAGCGUAGUAAUUCUUCUCGCUCUGGAGGUCCGGUCGUGUGCUCGCCAGCAACCCCCAAUUUUUUUCAGGUUGACCUCGGAUCAGGUAGGGAUACCCGCUGAACUUAAGCAUAUCAAUAAGCGGAGGA